UUAUGCUAAUAAGAGCGUAUGGUGGAUGCCUUGGCACUAAGAGCCGAUGAAAGACGUGAUAAGCUGCGAAAAGCUUCGGGGAGGAGCAAAUAUCCUAUGAUCCGGAGAUCUCUGAAUGGGGAAACCCACCUGAGCAAACCUCAGGUAUCCUAACGCCAAUACAUAACGUUAGGAGGGGAACCCGGUGAACUGAAACAUCUAAGUAGCCGGAGGAAGAGAAAACAACAUGUGAUUCUGGAAGUAGCGGCGAGCGAAACCGGAAGAGCCCAAACCGGAGUGCGUGCACUCCGGGGUUCGGACCGCGGAAUUGAUCCAAAAGACUUAACAGAACGGCCUGGGAAGGCCGGCCAGAGAGGGUGAAAGCCCCGUAAGUGAAAGGUCGAUUGGCAUGGCGGUAUCCAGAGUAGGUCGAGACACGUGGAACCUUGACUGAAUAUGCGGGGACCACCCCGUAAGGCUAAAUACUCCUUAGUGACCGAUAGCGCAUAGUACUGUGAAGGAAAGGUGAAAAGGACCCCGGGAGGGGAGUGAAAAAGAACCUGAAACCAUAUGUUUACAAGCUGUGGAACCACUUUAAAUGUGGAACCGCGUACUUUUUGUAGAACGGUCCGGCGAGUUACGCUGGCUGGCGAGGUUAAGUCCUUAAGGGAUGGAGCCGAAGGGAAACCAAGUCUGAAUAGGGCGAAGAGUCAGUCGGAGUAGACCCGAAACCGGGUGACCUAUCCAUGUCCAGGAUGAAGUUGCCGUAAAAGGCAAUGGAGGUCCGAACCCACAUCCGUUGAAAAGGGUGGGGAUGAGGUGUGGAUAGGGGAGAAAUUCCAAUCGAACCCGGAGAUAGCUGGUUCUCCUCGAAAUAGCUUUAGGGCUAGCCUCAUACAAGUCUUGCGGAGGUAGAGCACUGAAUUUCCUAGGGGGCGUCAAAGCUUACCGAAGAAUAUCAAACUCCGAAUGCCGCGUAGAUGGUGUAUGGGAGUCAGACUGCACGAGAUAAGUUGGGUAGUCAAAAGGGAAAGAGCCCAGACCUGCAGCUAAGGUCCCAAAAUGUGUGUUAAGUGGAAAAGGAUGUGGGAUUUCGAAGACAACUAGGAUGUUGGCUCAGAAGCAGCCAUACAUUCAAAGAGUGCGUAAUAGCUCACUAGUCGAGAGGUCCUGCGCCGAAAAUGUCCGGGGCUGAAACACACUACCGAAGCUCAGGAAUGUACUUGUACAUUGGUAGAGGAGCAUUGUAUACGGGAAGAAGCAGUACCGAUAAGGAGCUGUGGACUGUAUAGAAGAGAGAAUGCCGGAAUGAGUAGCGAGAGGAAGGUGAGAAUCCUUCCGGCCGAAUAUCUAAGGUUUCCAGAGUAAAGCUGAUCUGCUCUGGGUAAGUCGGGGCCUAAGGCCAGGUCGAAAGACGUAACCGAUGGACAACAGGUUGAAAUUCCUGUACCGCGAUAUAACAGAACUGUGGGGACACGUGUGGAGAGCACAAGCCGGGAAUGGAAAGCCCGGCGCAAGCAAGGUAGGAGUCGUACUGGCAAAUCCGUACGGCAAUCCGAAGAUGUGAUGCGUACCGAAAUAAGAGUAGGGAAGAGUGUGAGCCAUGCGUCAAGAAAAGCCGCUAUUGUUUGUAUCGCGCCCGUACCGUAAACCGACACAGGUGGAUGAGGAGAGAAUCCUAAGGCCGACGGGAGAAGCAUUGUUAAGGAACUCGGCAAAAUGACUCCGUAACUUCGGGAGAAGGAGUGCCACUGAGAGGUGGCCGCAGAGAAUUGGCCCAAGCAACUGUUUAGCAAAAACACAGGUCUAUGCAAAACCGAAAGGUGAAGUAUAUGGGCUGACGCCUGCCCGGUGCUGGAAGGUUAAGGGGAGAGGUUAGCGCAAGCGAAGCUUUGAACUUAAGCCCCAGUAAACGGCGGCCGUAACUAUAACGGUCCUAAGGUAGCGAAAUUCCUUGUCGGGUAAGUUCCGACCCGCACGAAAGGCGUAAUGA
This 1972-nucleotide ribosomal RNA is filed under the name human gut metagenome. RNAcentral's name for it is "bacterial LSU rRNA". It matches the Rfam family "Bacterial large subunit ribosomal RNA", at positions 1 to 2007 of the family's 2925-position model. The record is from RNAcentral.